ACAAAGUUUCUCAGCAAAUCAACUUCCCCAUUUCCCCCGACAGCAGUCCUUCCUGGAGGAAGGCUGUUUUAAUUUGCUAUGUUCCUACAUUAACGCUCGAACCUACAUUAACGCUUUGUCCCAUGUAGAUCCAGUGAGCUGCGUGCACAACAUGAAAUCCUAAACUUUGAGAAGACAACAUCAACUUAAAAAAACAUAUAAUUAGCGCUCUAAUAGUCGUACACAAGUGGGGCGGAUUCCAGCGUCCAGCCUUCCCAUAGAAAAGGAGGCUCAACUUUCACUUAGGCAUUGCACCACAUGUACUUUGGAAGCUAAAUGGAUGAGAAGACAUCAUUUGAAAAUCAGAGGAAAUACUCUGCAGAUGCUGGGAAUCUGAAAUGAAAGAAUGGUGGAAUUGCUUAAAAAUCAGCAACUGCAGAGAAAGAAAGAAAGUUAACGAUUGAGGAUAAUAGAAACUAGAUGCUGGAAUAUUGUUACACAAAUAAUGUGGGCAACUGUCUGAAGACUGAUGUCAUUGGCACAUUUCUGUCAGCUGAAUGUCAUGGAGUCAACACCAGCAUGGACAGGAACAGCAAACAACAGUGUCUCAUUAUUUAACCCAGCUGGUUUUAGUUUAUCGAAGGCUCCUGCAUACACAACUUAAUUAGUUAUCAAUCAUUACGUGGCAAUUUGUUGUACCUAUGUAAUGUCUGCAUAAUUGUGGAAAACAUACAUUUGUCAUAAUUAUAACAAAGGUGUAGUUGACAGCAAAACAAAUAUCAUUUUAAGUGACAACAGAUUAAAAUUGUGAGCAAAGGAUGCCUUGUUGCCAUUUAGUAUCGUGAUGGCAGAAUUAUUCUGAUGAAACAAUUACCCCCCGUGAAUUCAUGUUACAUAUUACAAUCCUGACAUUUUAGUGACAUUCACACACCUUUACUUUUGAAUCCUGUUGCUUUUAUUCGUUCCACUUCAUUAAAAAAAUAUUGUGUAAAUUCAUUUAGUUUCCAUUCUCACAAAUGUUCUGUUACAUCAUAUUUUGCUGAAGGUUGUGCAGCACUAAAAACAUGUUUUGUACAUUUUUCAGGCAUUAAAUCUUCUAAAAUUCUUAA
Molecule: long non-coding RNA, 1088 nt
Organism: Amblyraja radiata (thorny skate)
Lineage: Eukaryota; Metazoa; Chordata; Chondrichthyes; Rajiformes; Rajidae
Exons: 4
Source: RefSeq, a predicted model, not a curated record